GACGAACGCCGGCGGCGUGCUUAACACAUGCAAGUCGAACGCUGAAGCUCAGCUUUUGUUGGGUGGAUGAGUGGCGAACGGGUGAGUAACACGUGAGUAACCUGCCCCCUUCUUUGGGAUAACGCCCGGAAACGGGUGCUAAUACUGGAUAUUCACUGGUCUUCGCAUGGGGGUUGGUGGAAAGGGUUUUUCUGGUGGGGGAUGGGCUCGCGGCCUAUCAGCUUGUUGGUGGGGUGAUGGCCUACCAAGGCUUUGACGGGUAGCCGGCCUGAGAGGGUGACCGGUCACAUUGGGACUGAGAUACGGCCCAGACUCCUACGGGAGGCAGCAGUGGGGAAUAUUGCACAAUGGGCGCAAGCCUGAUGCAGCGACGCCGCGUGAGGGAUGGAGGCCUCCGGGUUGUGAACCUCUUUCGCUCAUGGUCAAGCCGCAACAAUGGUUGUGGUGAGGGUAGUGGGUAAAGAAGCGCCGGCUAACUACGUG
This 483-nucleotide ribosomal RNA is filed under the name uncultured bacterium. RNAcentral's name for it is "partial 16S ribosomal RNA". It matches the Rfam family "Bacterial small subunit ribosomal RNA", at positions 28 to 507 of the family's 1533-position model. The record is from RNAcentral.